Molecule: ribosomal RNA, 405 nt
Filed under: uncultured bacterium
Lineage: Bacteria
Description: bacterial SSU rRNA
Rfam family: Bacterial small subunit ribosomal RNA
Source: RNAcentral
UGGGGAAUAUUGCACAAUGGAGGAAACUCUGAUGCAGCGACGCCGCGUGAGUGAAGAAGGUCUUCGGAUCGUAAAACUCUGUCCUUGGUGACGAAAAAAAUGACGGUAGCCAAGGAGGAAGCCCCGGCUAACUACGUGCCAGCAGCCGCGGUAAUACGUAGGUGGCGAGCGUUGUCCGGAAUUACUGGGUGUAAAGGGCGUGUAGGCGGGGAUGCAAGUCAGAUGUGAAAUGCCGGAGCUUAACUCCGGAGCUGCAUCUGAAACUGUGUUUCUUGAGUGUCGGAGAGGAUAGCGGAAUUCCCAGUGUAGCGGUGAAAUGCGUAGAUAUUGGGAGGAACACCAGUGGCGAAGGCGGCUUUCUGGACGAUAACUGACGCUGAGGCGCGAAAGCGUGGGGAGCAAACA